This 260-nucleotide long non-coding RNA is filed under the name Ananas comosus (pineapple). RNAcentral's name for it is "long non-coding RNA (ACOM_LNC040540)". Lineage: Eukaryota; Viridiplantae; Streptophyta; Magnoliopsida; Poales; Bromeliaceae. The record is from RNAcentral.
ACUUGAGACAUAGUAGUAUAGCAUUUCAUUUAUACUUUCUUUCAGCAGUUCUUAUACUCGCCCUUUAUUGUUUGUUAUUAUUGUCGUUACUUACCCUUUUCUUUUGGGGCCUAGUGGUGUAUUGAGCUGAGGUCAGUAAUUUUCCACUGGAAACUAAAAAUUAUAGUUCUCACGCCCUCUGUUUUAUGUUUUCUUUCAGAGCCUUCCACGCUGGGAGAGGCUAGGGACCGAAGGAAGGGCGUGGCUUCGAGCUAGCUCUU